UGCAGACCGGACUGCGGAGGUUGCUGUUGUGCGAAGGAUAGGUGUGGAGGUGAUUGCGGACUUCUGGUCACGGCUAGCUGCGUUUGUGAGUCUGCGUCGGCCUCCGCGCCGCUGGGACCUUGUCCCGAACCAGCACCCAUUCCUAGCGUCAGAUGAUGUUGGAGGGGUUAUCUUGGUAGGGCCAACAGCGGACUCGCCACCGGCCUCACCCUAGCUUGUCAGCUUAGGGACUCGCAAGAGGUAGUCUUAUGACGCCGACCCACGGCUUAGGUGAGCAGCGCUAGCGUUUGCGGUGAGCCGGGCCUGGGGUUCCUCCCCUCUCCGGAGGCGAGGAGCAUGGGGGUCAUUCGGGGAUCUCUCCUCGGGUGAGCGUGCGUGUCUCGUACGUUUUUGGGGCCCUGGCUUAGUCCACGGCUGUCGUCCCACAUGUAACCUCUAUCAGCUAAACGCCCGCCCGUGGGCUUUGUACGCGGGUGGUCUUGCGCCACGAUGCCGGAGUUGGGUGCCGCCACGAUGCCGGAGUUGGGUGCCGGAGUCACAUCAAGGUCGCAAGAUCGAAACCCGUCAGGAACAGUUCGGCUCCGUUACCUGUGUAGGCACUGAACAUACUUGUGCCGAACUUCCCCGAACGAGCGCCAUCUCGGCCUUCCUAGGUCGCUGCUCUACGGGUGAGGACGCUGGUGCGGCGGGUUCUGAAAAUCAGAUUCAUCCAACCAUUGGUUGGUCCUGCCAUUCGGGCUCACCAACGCUCCUGCUACGUUUCAAGCCACUAUGAACCGCAUCUUUGCGCCGUUCCUGAACCGGUUUGUGACUGUGUAUUUGGAUGACAUCCUCAUUUUCAGUCGCACCGCUGAAGAACAUGAACAACACCUCCGCCAAGUGUUGGCCUGCCUCCGUAAAUGGAAACUACACGCCAAACUUAGCAAGUGCGAGUUCUGGCGCAGUGAGGUGAAAUACUUGGGGCAUAUUGUCAGUUCGGAUGGAAUCCGCAUGGAUCCAAAGAAAGUUGAGCAAAUCCGUCAGUGGCCGCGUGACCUGUCUGAAUUGCGGUCAUUUGUUGGUUUAGCCAACUAUUUCCGCCGGUUUAUUGCUGGUUUUGCAUCCCUGGCCGCACCGUUCACCAACAUGUUCUCACCAGAGGUCGGCAAACGCAUUUUUUCUGCUGCGGGUCCCAGACCGAUUUCGGUAAAUCCCCACCGGGGGGUGUGGGGGGUGUCCCCCCAGCCGGGGGUCCGGGGGCGGGAGCCCCCGGAGAAAAUUUUCGCAUAUCGGGCCUCAAAUAUGUGCUUUUUACAAGGGUUUCCGCGUGUGCAAGGCUUGCAUUCGUCUUACAUGUUCAACAGCACAUGUCUGGACAGCUGCUCUGUGGCAGGCAGCCACAAAUCCUCGCAAUCCCCCUCUGUUCCGCGCAAGCCAGCCCCAGGGCAGCAGCCCCAAAGAAAUUUUUUUGGAUUGCGCUUCAAAUUGCGACAUUUUCAAGAUGUUUGGGGGGCAUUUUGGCUAAACCAAGAGCAAGUCAAUCAUGUUUUGGGUCGGUUUUGGGGGGCAGUUUUGCUUUCUGGAGCGAUUUCGGUAGUGUAAGUACCCGCAGCGGUUGACUAUUUUCGAUUUCGGUUGCGGGUACUUCGGGGGGCCCCGAAGGACCCGAGGCUUAUGCCGACCUCUGGUUCUCACUCACGCGCCUACCGGACACUUGGCCUCCGCAGGCCCUGCACGCGUUUGAACAAAUCAAAGAACGCCUGUCAACCGAUGUGCUUUUGCGUUAUCCUGAUUUCUCGAAGCCCUUUGUCGUCAUGUCCGACGCUUCGCUGAACGGAACGGGUGCUGUCUUGUUGCAAGAGGACCGACCGGUCGCUUUUACCAGCAAGAAGUUCUCCCCUGCUGAACGCAACUACAGCACUGGUGAACAAGAACUGUUGGGUGUGGUAAACGCCCUGCGUGAAUGGCGUUGUUACCUGCAGAGCGCGCUACCUUUUACUUUGUACACGGACCAUCAUCCGUUGAUCUACCUCAAGACCCAAGCACACCUUUCAAGACGUCAAGCCCGCUGGGUGGAGCUCCUGUCUGAGUUCCAUUUCGACUGGGUCUACCGCCCAGGCAAGCUCAACGUAGUUGCUGAUGCCCUGUCUCGACACCCGUCGCUGUCCUUCCUGCAUGCUAUGCAAACCCGCCGUCAAGCUGCCGCCGCGGCUUCCUCGCCGCCUGCUCCCUCUGCGACGCCCUCUGCGCCUCGUGCCCGUGCUGCGCACGCACCUGCGCCUGUUUCCUCUGGGCCUGUCGCUACCUUCACAGCACGUAUUGCUGCGGCUGUGCGAGCUGAUACCUGGUUUCAGGAUGCGGCUAACGUGCGUGGUCUGGCUACGAGCCCUGAUGGUCUCUUUUUGCGGGAGGAGGAGGGGAGUUGGCGCAUCCUUGUGCCUAAUGACCCUGAUCUGAAACGCGAUAUCAUUGCGAGUUGCCAUUCUGAACGCCUCGCCGGACACCAGGGUCGUGAUCGCACUACUGAGCUGGUUCGCCGUACGUUUACGUGGCCUACCCUGACCCGCGAUGUGGCUGACUUCGUAGCGUCCUGUGACGCCUGCCAACGUUCCAAGCCUGCUUCUGGCAAGCCUGCUGGCAAGCUUCAACCGCUGCCUAUCCCGGAACUACCUUGGGAGAGUGUGUCUAUGGACUUCAUUACGGGUUUACCUCGUACGCAGCGUCACAAUACCGCUAUCUGCGUGUUUGUGGACCGCCUGACUAAGAUGGUGCACAUCGCGCCCUGUUCCCACGAAAUCAAUGGACAGCAGACUGCUGACCUAUUCUUUGACUCUGUGGUUCGCCUGCAUGGCCUGCCUCGUGAGAUUGUGUCUGACCGCGGCACAGUAUUCACCGGAGCUUUCACUACCGCGCUGACUAAGCGCCUGGGAAUUAAGCAGUCUUUGUCUACCGCUUUCCACCCCCAGACUGAUGGGCAGACUGAACGGAUUAAUCGUAUCUUGAAUGAUAUGAUGCGGAACUUUUGUGAUGGAAAUCACGCGAAUUGGGACCGGUACUUGUCGGCCGCUGAGUUUGCGAUUAACAAUGCGCAGAACCGUUCCACCGGCAAGUCCCCUUUCUUCCUGACUUACGGCGUCCACCCUAAGACACCGCUGACACUGGACGUUGGAAAUUCCGUCCCUGCCGCUAAGCAUUACACAGAUAACCUUAUGGAACGUCUGAACGCUGCUAAGCGCUGUUUGCAAGCCGCGCAAGACCGCGCCCGCCAAGAUGCAGACCGACACCGCCGUGCCGUGACUUUUACGGAAGGUCAGAUGGUGUUGCUGAGCACAAAGAACUUUCGUGAGUAUCAAGGCAAGCACAAGAAGCUUAUGCCCCGAUGGGUUGGACCCUUUCCAAUUGAGAAGAUGAUUAACCCUGUUGCGGCUCGCUUGACGCUACCGCCUGGUGAAGAAAAGCACAACGUGUUUCACGUCUCUUUGCUGCGACCAUACCGCCAGCCUGCUGACGCCACGCCUGUUCGUGUGCUACCCUUGCCUGUUACGUCCAAUGGCACUCCCACUCUGCGUGCUGAGCGCAUUCUGGACCAUGAGACACGCAAGCUGCGGAACCGUGAGAUUCACCGUUACUACGUGAAAUUCGUAGGACGAGACAUGGAGAACAACCAAUGGUUGGAUGAAUCUGAUUUUCCUGAUCGCACCUUGAUUGAUGCCUAUUGGGCUUCACGACAGGUUGCCAGUUCUGUACCUUCUACUUGAGCUGCGGGACGCUAGCUCUUGGAGGGGGAGCAGUUGUUGUAGAGCAUAUUGUUAUAUGCGAUAUAUGAUAUGACACGCUACGGUGUCCAGAAUUGGGGCUGUUCUAGCUACGAGUCUAGAACCUGCAAUGUGUCCAGAGAUGGGCCGCUGCAUGGAGUGCAGUACGCUCGGCGACACUUGAAAUAGUCCUAACUGGCCGGCAGCCAGUAACAUAGGUGACCUGUGCACUAGCCCUGCUAAGGUCUUGCUAUUGUUAGCCGGGUCGGCACCGGCUUAGGGCAAUAGCUCUCGCUAAUUGGCAUAGAGCCGCCUACAACAUUUGGUGCGCAAUCAAGCCAUCUGUACUUGGCGCCGGCCCAGGCCCUCUUCGCCUACCUCGACCGCGCGGGCUUUGGUGUCUCCUGGGCGGAUAUCCGCCUCGUAGCUACUGCCUUUGCGGACGACGCUGCGCCGUUCUUGCGUCGGAUGGCCAACGUGCCUGGUUUCCUGGCAGCUAUGGAGACCUUCCGCGCCGCCUCUGGGCAGCGCCUUAACCUCGACAAAGUGGAGCUUCUGCCCAUCGGUGCACGGCGCCGCGCCACUCCUGCUCCCACCCGCGCUGUCGCUGCUGGCUUGGCGGCUGGCGGCGCAGCGGCUGGCAACAUGGCAGCUCACGGCGUGGCGGCGACCAGUGUGGCAGCUGCCGGCGGCAUGGCUGCCGGCGGCGCGGCGGCUGGUGGCGCGGUGGCUGGCGGCGGCCCCGGCACCAGCCACUCUGGUGGGGGCAUCUUGGCGGCCGGUGGUGCGGUGCCUUCUCGGGCGGGCGCGGUUUGGGCAGCUGCCGGUGUUGUGGUCACUGGUGGCGUGACGGCCGGCGGCUCUGCCGCGGGUGCUGGCGGUGCCGUAGCCGCGCCUGCCCCGCCCAACACAGUUGCUAUGGCGCAUGGCUUGCGCGUAGUCUCGCACUCGCGCACGCUGGGUGUGGUCUUCUACGACCUCCCACUUGGCACGGCUGCAGCCCAGGGGGCUCCUUCCCUCUCCCCUGCCAUUGGCACCCUGGGGACGCUCUGCGGCCUCCCCCUAACUGCCUUUGGCCGUGGCUUCUGUGCCUCCUCCUACGCCGUCAGCCGUGUGCUCUACCAUAUGGAGUUUGCGGGUCUGCCGCCGCAGACGGUUUUGGCAGACUUCCUCAAAACGCUUGUGCGGUUUGUGGACCGCCGCAUCAUCGUUGCCACGCCGCAAGGUGCUGGCCGGGCCCGACCUCCCGGCCUCCCCUCCGACUGCGUCGCCCUGCCGCCACGCGAUGGCGGCUUUGGACUGCUGCCGGUGGUGGAACACGUGCGCGCCCGACACGCUGUGUUGGCUGUGCGCUGGCUGCAGCACAUGCACGGCUCUGCGGCUGGCACCUACGUACCGCCGUGGACAGCCGCCGCCACCGCCCUGGUGCAGCAGCUACACACGGCCGCCCACCCCCUCUGCGUCCUGACGAUGCAGCGGGCGGCCGGCGGUGUCGGACCCGCUGCCGAUGGCUGUGCAAUCUUCGGCCAGCCGGUGGCGGCAACCUGCCCGGCCCUCGUGCGCCUCCUGGGUGCCCUCAGCUACCUGCCUCCGGUCACAAUCCUACGCCCGGCUGUGCUGGUGCCAGGGCCCUGGUGCUUUGCACUUCCGCUCUGGGGCAAUCCAGUCUUGCCGUGUGCGGCGGGGCUUCAGGCGGGUGGCUUGGAACGUGACUUCCCAGCUCUCAUGGCGCUGCCGGGUCUGCUCACGCUCGGCACGGCAGUGCGGUGCUGGGAGGCGCUGGCCGCGGUGCGCCAGCUGGUGGCUUCCAAGCCGGCUGGUGCGCUCGGGCCGCGCCUCGCACGUCGCUGCACUAUACAGUACAAGCGGUCCGUCCUGCGCCCCAUCCUGCGCAUUACGGAUAUGGCGCGCGUGCCGCCGGCGCUGCAGUCCGGCCCGGAUGCUGCUGCCCAGUUCUCCGCGCUGCUGGCCCGUGUACCGGCGGCGUGGAGGGUGGCGGCGUCGGCCACACUGCAUGCGCCUGGCGGCGCGGCCUCCGCGCCUCCUGCCCCCCAGGUAUGGCUGCUGCUUGCGCAGAGCCUGGGGUGGCGGCAUGGCGCGGCUGACGUGCCCUUGCUGACCCUUACGGUGAAGCAGGCAACCCAGCUUCAACUUGCGCCUGCGUACGACGCGCUCCGCGUGCGUCACUUGGCCUUCAUCCAGGAGGCCUACAGCGGCGCCGCACCGCCAGCGGAAGCGAUUCAUGCGCUGCGGGCGGCCCUGGCGCGGCUGUGGGCGUUGGUGUGGGAGCCGCGACACAAGGAACCGCUCUGGCGUCUGGCAGUCAAUGGGUUCACGGGCUUUGGGAUGCUUGCGGCGUGGGCCGCAGAUGGACGCGUGGAGAAAUGCCCGUGUGGGACUCAGAUGACUGCUGGCGCUAGGGUUCAUCACUUCUGGGACUGUGUGGUGGCGGAGGCUCUGCGUGAUGUGAUGCGGGAGCAUGCGAAUGUGGACAUCACACGGAACCAGUUGUGGUUAGUACAGGCGCCACCAGGGCUAUCGCAGGCGGUGUGGGACAUCGUGUGCUUGGCUGCUGUGGCGGCCCUGGAAUACGGCCGACAGCGCCUUUACGCUUGCCGUGAUGCUGCAGACCGGACUGCGGAGGUUGCUGUUGUGCGAAAGAUCGGUGUGGAGGUGAUUGCGGACUUCUGGUCACGGCUAGCUGCGUUUGUGAGUCUGCGUCGGCCUCCGCGCCGCUGGGACCUUGUCCCGAACCAGCACCCAUUCCUAGCGUCAGAUGAUGUUGGAGGGGUUAUCUUGGUAGGGCCAACAGCGGACUCGCCACCGGCCUCACCCUAGCUUGUCAGCUUAGGGACUCGCAAGAGGUAGUCUUAUGACGCCGACCCACGGCUUAGGUGAGCAGCGCUAGCGUUUGCGGUGAGCCGGGCCUGGGGUUCCUCCCCUCUCCGGAGGCGAG
This 6690-nucleotide long non-coding RNA is filed under the name Chlamydomonas reinhardtii. RNAcentral describes it as "long non-coding RNA (CREI_LNC000907)". The record is from RNAcentral. Lineage: Eukaryota; Viridiplantae; Chlorophyta; Chlorophyceae; Chlamydomonadales; Chlamydomonadaceae.